Molecule: ribosomal RNA, 448 nt
Filed under: uncultured bacterium
Lineage: Bacteria
Description: bacterial SSU rRNA
Rfam family: Bacterial small subunit ribosomal RNA
Source: RNAcentral
AACGAACGCUGGCGGCAGGCUUAACUCAUGCAAGUCGAACGCCCCGCAAGGGGAGUGGCGCACGGGUGAGUAACGCGUGGGAAUAUGCCCUUCGGUUCGGAAUAACACAGGGAAACUUGUGCUAAUACCGGAUACGAUCUACGGAUGAAAGAUUUAUCGCCGAGGGAGUAGCCCGCGUAGGAUUAGCUAGUUGGUGAGGUAAUGGCUCACCAAGGCGACGAUCCUUAGCUGGUCUGAGAGGAUGAUCAGCCACACUGGGACUGAGACACGGCCCAGACUCCUACGGGAGGCAGCAGUGGGGAAUAUUGGACAAUGGGCGAAAGCCUGAUCCAGCCAUGCCGCGUGAGUGAUGAAGGCCUUAGGGUUGUAAAGCUCUUUCGCCAGGGAAGAGUAAUGACGGUACCGUGGAAAGAAGCUCGGCUAACUCCGUGCCAGCAGCCGCGGUAAU